AUCUUUGCGCUUGGGGCAAUGACGCAGCUAGUGAGGUUAUAACCGAGGCGCGUCAAUUGCCGGUUGAAAACUAUUUCCAAACCCCCUCUUUGGUCUGGGUCUCUCCCUGCCAUUGAGAAUUUCUGGAAGUUCUCCCUUCGGGG
Molecule: small nuclear RNA, 143 nt
Filed under: Nelumbo nucifera (sacred lotus)
Lineage: Eukaryota; Viridiplantae; Streptophyta; Magnoliopsida; Proteales; Nelumbonaceae
Description: U4 spliceosomal RNA
Rfam family: U4 spliceosomal RNA
About the family: U4 small nuclear RNA (U4 snRNA) is a component of the major U2-dependent spliceosome. The structure of U4 snRNA from yeast and human has been reported.
Source: Rfam by way of RNAcentral